RNAcentral lists this ribosomal RNA (743 nucleotides) under uncultured bacterium. Its description in RNAcentral is "bacterial SSU rRNA". It matches the Rfam family "Bacterial small subunit ribosomal RNA", at positions 72 to 826 of the family's 1533-position model. The record is from RNAcentral.
UUGAGAGCUUGCUUUUAUUAUUUUAGCGGCCGAUGGGUGAGUAACGUGUGGGUAACCUGCCUUUUACUGGGGAAUAAUCACUGGAAACGGUGACUAAUACCGCAUAAUAUUCUUAGGAGGCAUCUUCUGAGAAGGAAAGGAGAAAUUCGGUAAAAGAUGGGCCCGCAUCUGAUUAGCUAGUUGGUGAGAUAACAGCCCACCAAGGCGACGAACAGUAGCCGACCUGAGAGGGUGACCGGCCACAUUGGGACUGAGACACGGCCCAAACUCCUACGGGAGGCAGCAGUGGGGAAUAUUGCACAAUGGGGGAAACCCUGAUGCAGCAACGCCGCGUGAAGGAAGACGGUUUUCGGAUUGUAAACUUCUAUCAAUAGGGAAGAAAGAAAUGACGGUACCUAAAUAAGAAGCCCCGGCUAACUACGUGCCAGCAGCCGCGGUAAUACGUAGGGGGCAAGCGUUAUCCGGAAUUACUGGGUGUAAAGGGAGAGUAGGCGGCAAGGUAAGCGAUAUGUGAAAGCCUUAGGCUUAACCUGAGGAUUGCAUAACGAACUAUCUAGCUAGAGUACAGGAGAGGAAAGCGGAAUUCCUAGUGUAGCGGUGAAAUGCAUAGAUAUUAGGAAGAACACCAGUGGCGAAGGCGGCUUUCUGGACUGAAACUGACGCUGAGGCUCGAAAGCGUGGGGAGCGAACAGGAUUAGAUACCCUGGUAGUCCACGCUGUAAACGAUGAGUGCUAGGUGUCGG